Molecule: ribosomal RNA, 444 nt
Filed under: uncultured bacterium
Lineage: Bacteria
Description: bacterial SSU rRNA
Rfam family: Bacterial small subunit ribosomal RNA
Source: RNAcentral
UUUCCUACGGGAGGCUGCAGUGAGGAAUAUUGCACAAUGGGGGCAACCCUGAUGCAGCGACGCCGCGUGGGUGAUGACGGCCUUCGGGUUGUAAAGCCCUUUUGCCACUGACGAGAACGGACGGUAGGUGGCGAAUAAGCCUCGGCUAACUACGUGCCAGCAGCCGCGGUAAAACGUAGGAGGCGAGCGUUAUCCGGAGUUACUGGGCGUAAAGCGUGCGCAGGCGGUGCCAUAAGUCAGGUGUGAAAGGUUCCGGCUCAACCGGAGAAACGCGCUUGAGACUGUGGGACUAGAGUGGGAUAGAGGGACGUGGAAUUCCGGGUGGAGCGGUGAAAUGUGUAGAGAUCCGGAGGAACACCAGAGGCGCAAGCGGCGUCCUGGGUCCCAACUGACGCUGAGGCACGAAAGCUUGGGGAGCGAACGGGAUUAGAUACCCCGGUAGUC